UGAGACAUUAGUUCUCGUACGAUCACCGAAGUUAAGCAACGGCGAGCCUGGUCAGUACCUGGAUGGUUGACUGUUUGGAAAUACCAGGUGCU
Non-coding RNA from Acanthosepion pharaonis, 92 nucleotides. The record is from the annotation of a GenBank genome assembly. Lineage: Eukaryota; Metazoa; Mollusca; Cephalopoda; Sepiida; Sepiidae.